This is a long non-coding RNA of Oncorhynchus tshawytscha (Chinook salmon), 3194 nucleotides long. RefSeq lists it as uncharacterized. The transcript has 3 exons. Lineage: Eukaryota; Metazoa; Chordata; Actinopteri; Salmoniformes; Salmonidae. The record is from RefSeq and is a predicted model, not a curated record.
CCAGCAAAGCCUCUUGGAUCAAAAAAGCCUGCGCAAAGCUAUUUGGGGAUUUCAAAUAAAUCACUGACUAGUGACUGGUACGUAUGGUAGCAUACAAACUAACAGAUUGGCACAUUUUAUCAUAAAUUUACGAAGAAAGUUAUUACACAACAGUAAAACAAACUUGAUAUUAGUUCCAAAGCAGUUUCGCGUUGCCAUACCCAGCCUGGAUCUCGACGAGGAUAGUCCCAACGGAACCUGGGAAAGUCUUAACAGAAGUCUUUACAGAAGUUAUAACAGUUCACUCACCACCUCCAUUCUUGUAGCAGAGGGUUUCAGCGGGGCCACUGAUGACAGCUUGUGGUCUGGCAGGACCUGGAUGUUCAUCUUUUCUCCGGUGUCGGUGUGCAGCUCGCCGAAGGCCUUGUGCUCUCACCGCACGGAGGAAGUAUCCGUGGCGGAGGUGAAGCUCGCGCAGCAGUGGACCGUGACGACGAUGGGAGUCCCGCUAGCGUGGAAAGGCAAACUCUGCAUAAAUGAUUAUUUUCUCCACGAACUACAGUGGACUCCACCGCAUUCAUCGGCUAGAGAGGCUAGUAUUACGCAACAGUUGGAGUGACGUCUCAGGAAAGAUUUUCGGCCACUUCGAUGGAUAGGCUGUCCAGUGUUGUGCCUGGCUGUCAGCCUAAAAGAUGACCUGUGACUGGAGAUGGAUUGCCAUGCUGGCCUAGAUCAGCUCUACGGUGCUCUGGUUGUCUCGACAGGGGCAUAUUUGUCCUCCAAAACCACAGCAGUUCUGAUAACCUCUGACACCAACCCACAUGACAUGGAGCACCAUCAUUCUGUCAUAAGGAAGCGUCCCUUCCUUUUAGAUGCAGAUCCUAGUGACCUAGGUCUACCAACACCCAGGCCGGCAUUUACUGCUGCCUUACCCUUAUUUCUGAAUCCCAUUCUAACUGCUCACGGCAAAGCAAUCUCUUCCCUCCCUUCUGGCCUCUAUCAAUCAUCCCUACCAGGCCCCAUCCCUUCCUACAUGCCUGUCUGCCUGCCUCCAUGCCUGCAUGUCUCUGUGUGCCAGCAUCCGUCCAUCCAUCUGCCUACCCGCCUGCCUCCUUCCCUUCCUCUCCCUCUCUUCCUUCCCUCCAUCUUCCCUCUGCCCCGGGGCCUCUUCUCUCCAUGGGCCAGCUAGAUCCUGAUCUCAGAUCAGAUGAGGUUGAUGAGACGUGAAAUGUCUCUCACAACAGUCCAGAAAGGCUGCAGCCUCCUCUAGGACCACAGCCAGCCAGGGACCCCUAUGCUCUCUGUCCACACCGCUCUCCAUCUUCCAGGCCUGCCCUGCCAUCGGAGAACCACCCCAUCUCUUAACCCUGGAAAGAGCAGAGGCAGGUCCAACUCUGCCUGGCCAUUCAGGCUCAGUCCAAGUGACUCAGGCAAAAGAGUGGAGAAAUGUUGUUUGAGCUAGGAUGAGUAGGUCACUUCACUUUAGACUGUUUUCAAUAUGUUUUUGAGAUUAAAUGAAAUGAGCGGUUUCUUAAGUACCAUGUUCUUAUGUUUCAUAUUGUACUGAAUGCAUUGCCAAAGUUAUAUGGCAUUCAAGUUGAUUUCCAUGCACUUGUAAUAUGAACUUAGGCUUCAGCACUUGUUUCUUUACAGAUUUAGCCCACAUUAAAAAAUACUAAAGUUUGCUAUGGAAUACUACAGUACUUACUAUAGAAUUAUGUAGUAAACUGUAGUAUAAUGUAGAAUACUAUCCUACACACUAAUAUCCCUCGAUCAUGUGAACAACUUAGUAUAGAAUUUUGCAGUAUACUGUAGAAUACUAUCGUAAAUACUACAGUAUUAUCCCCCAAAAACAUUGUAUUAAAUACUACAGAAAUGUCUGCAAAAACACUAUAGUCCGCAAAGGUAUAAUUGAGCCCCCUAUGAAUUUACCUGACACCCCUGUGCACUCCUUCACCAGGUUCUCCUUUUCAUCCUUCUCUGUUUCAGAAGUGUGUAAAGCCCUGAAAGAAAUGGAUUUUUAAAAAAUCCCCUGGCCCUGAUAAACUAGGCCCCUGCCUCCUACACCUAGCUGCAGACAUCAUUGCUCCCCCUUAACAUGUAUUUUUAACCUGCUUGAUGUUAAGGAAAUCCCCAAGUUAUGGAAAUCUGCUUUUGUACUGCCUAUUGACAACUAUCGACCCAUAUCAAAAUUGUCUGUACUGUCAAAUGUACUGGAUUCCUUAGUUAGUAGGCAGCUAAAGACCUACUUCCAAGAAAACAACAUCUUAAAUGGAAUGCAAUCAGGUUUUAGGUCUGGCCACAGCACUGUUUCAGCAACAUUGAAGGUUUUAAAUUACAUCAACUGUGCUCUUGAUAAGAAGUUACAAUGUGUGUCUGUUUUUAUUGUUUUGUCGAAGGCUUUUGACACCGUGGACCAUGCUGUGUUAGUGCCAAGGUUAAAAUGUUAUGGAAUUACUGGUCAUGCUCUAGAUUGGUUGAUAAAUUACCUAUCAAAUUGUACACAUUGUGUAAUGGCGGAUGGUUGUAAAUCUGAGUCCAUAGAGGCGUGCUCAGGUGUUCCGCAUGGUUCUAUUUUGGGCCCACUGUUGUUCAUUUUUUAUAUCAACAACAUUGGGGAUCUUAUUGAAACAGCAGAUGUUCAUUUUUAUACGAUACUGUUCUUUAUUCAAGAGGUAGUAGUUUAUAUUUAGCUUGUGAAAAUGCCCAAAGAGCAUUUAACAUCAUGCAACAGAAUCUGUGUGAUUUAAAGCUAAUUCUAAAUUCGGGUAAAACAAAAUGCAUGGUAUUUUCAAAUGCCAGGCAUGUUAAAAAUCAUGUCAUUGCUACAUUGGCUGGACAUACUAUAGUGCAAGUUAAAGUGUACAAAUAUUUGGGUGUGUGGGUUGAUGACAAGCUGAGCUUCACUGUGCAUGUAGAGAACUGGAUAAUGAAGCUCAAGCUGAAAAAAUGAUUUUAUUACAGGCAUAAGGCUUGUUUUUCUUUUGAGGCCAGGAAGGAGCUGGUACGAUGUACAUUACUGUCGGUUUUAGAUUUUAGUGAUGUUAUAUAUACAGUAUAUAUGCAGGCCUCAGCCACUACCCUGAGAUCACUUGGUUCAGUAUAUCAUGCAGCCUUCAGGUUCAUUACAAAUCAGAAAUGUCUAACACAUCAUUGUGAUCUCUACAGCGCUAUUGGCUGGUCGUCAUUGACCUUGUGUAGGCUUAAACACUGGU